RNAcentral lists this ribosomal RNA (775 nucleotides) under uncultured bacterium. Its description in RNAcentral is "bacterial SSU rRNA". It matches the Rfam family "Bacterial small subunit ribosomal RNA", at positions 613 to 1389 of the family's 1533-position model. The record is from RNAcentral.
CCUGGGAACUGCGUUNUGAACUGGGUGACUAGAGUGUNUCAGAGGGAGGUAGAAUUCCACGUGUAGCAGUGAAAUGCGUAGAGAUGUGGAGGAAUACCGAUGGCGAAGGCAGCNUCCUGGGAUAACACUGACGUUCAUGCCCGAAAGCGUGGGUAGCAAACAGGAUUAGAUACCCUGGUAGUNCACGCCCUAAACGAUGUCGAUUAGCUGUUGGGCAGCAUGACUGCUUAGUAGCGAAGCUAACGCGUGAAAUCGACCGCCUGGGGAGUACGGUCGCAAGAUUAAAACUCAAAGGAAUUGACGGGGACCCGCACAAGCGGUGGAUGAUGUGGAUUAAUUCGAUGCAACGCGAAGAACCUUACCUGGUCUUGACAUGUACGGAAUCCUCCAGAGACGGAGGAGUGCCUUCGGGAGCCGUAACACAGGUGCUGCAUGGCUGUCGUCAGCUCGUGUCGUGAGAUGUUGGGUUAAGUCCCGCAACGAGCGCAACCCUUGUCAUUAGUUGCCAUCAUUAAGUUGGGCACUCUAAUGAGACUGCCGGUGGCAAGCCGGAGGAAGGUGGGGAUGACGUCAAGUCCUCAUGGCCCUUAUGACCAGGGCUUCACACGUCAUACAAUGGUCGGUACAGAGGGUAGCCAAGCCGCGAGGCGGAGCCAAUCUCACAAAACCGAUCGUAGUCCGGAUUGCACUCUGCAACUCGAGUGCAUGAAGUCGGAAUCGCUAGUAAUCGCAGGUCAGCAUACUGCGGUGAAUACGUUCCCGGGUCUUGUACACA